This 537-nucleotide long non-coding RNA is filed under the name Anser brachyrhynchus (Pink-footed goose). RNAcentral's name for it is "lncRNA (ENSABRG00000022900.1)". The record is from RNAcentral. Lineage: Eukaryota; Metazoa; Chordata; Aves; Anseriformes; Anatidae.
AUGUGGUGGUGGAGUGAAGAGCAAGGACAUCUGCUGCUCAGAGUACUCCUCGCUGGACUCCCUCCGCACCUGGCAACCUCAGAUGGUCUGGUCUCAAGCAGCGUCCCAUCAAAGAGCACCACCUGCAUCUCACAGUGGCAUGGUUGCCAGAAAACUGGGACUUGUGGGGUAGAGGGAGCUUCCACUCCUAGAUGGCGAUGCAAAGCAUAAUGACAAGGAUUAGAACAUCUGACUUCUCAAGACUGACUGUGAAGUCAUGACCAUGAGUGAAGUUGCAGGUGAUUCCUGCUUUCAUAUUGAAAAUGUCUCAUAACAUGCUCAUUCCAGAGCUGCAGAAAGUAUAUCCAUUCUCAUUAUAUCAACAGCCAGUGUUUAACCCUGCUGGACUCUCUUUAAAUUGCAUGUGAUUGAUUUGUUGGUAAGCUUGGGGUUUACACCACAAAAUGGGCUUCAGAAUACCUUUUAGUGGAAUUUGACAGUCUCUUUUUCAAAUUGGAGUGACUGAGGCUAAGAAGAAUAAAGGCUUUUUAUGCAGCA